AACGAACGCUGGCGGCAUGCCUAACACAUGCAAGUCGAACGAAUGUAGCAAUACAUGAGUGGCGAACGGGUGAGUAACGCGUGGGAACCUGCCUAGUGGUAGGGAAUAACCGCGGGAAACUGCGGCUAAUACCCUAUGAGCCCUCCGGGGGAAAGAUUUAUCGCCAUUAGAGGGGCCCGCGUCGGAUUAGCUAGUUGGUGGGGUAACGGCCCACCAAGGCGACGAUCCGUAGCUGGUCUGAGAGGAUGAUCAGCCACACUGGGACUGAGAUACGGCCCAGACUCCUACGGGAGGCAGCAGUGGGGAAUAUUGGACAAUGGGGGCAACCCUGAUCCAGCAAUGCCGCGUGAGUGAAGAAGGCCUUAGGGUUGUAAAGCUCUUUCGGCGGGGAAGAUGAUGACGGUACCGCAGAAGAAGCCCCGGCUAACUUCGUGCCAGCCGCCGCGGU
RNAcentral lists this ribosomal RNA (448 nucleotides) under uncultured bacterium. RNAcentral describes it as "bacterial SSU rRNA". It matches the Rfam family "Bacterial small subunit ribosomal RNA", at positions 29 to 521 of the family's 1533-position model. The record is from RNAcentral.